This 497-nucleotide ribosomal RNA is filed under the name uncultured bacterium. Its description in RNAcentral is "partial 16S ribosomal RNA". It matches the Rfam family "Bacterial small subunit ribosomal RNA", at positions 28 to 507 of the family's 1533-position model. The record is from RNAcentral.
GAUGAACGCUGGCGGCGUGCCUAAUACAUGCAAGUCGAGCGAACGGCCGAGAAGCUUGCUUCUCUGAUGUUAGCGGCGGACGGGUGAGUAACACGUGGAUAACCUACCUAUAAGACUGGGAUAACUUCGGGAAACCGGAGCUAAUACCGGAUAAUAUUAUGAACCGCAUGGUUCCAAAGUGAAAGACGGUCUUUCUGUCACUUAUAGAUUGAUCCGCGCUGCAUUAGCUAGUUGGUAAGGUAACGGCUUACCAAGGCAACGAUGCAUAGCCGACCUGAGAGGGUGAUCGGCCACACUGGAACUGAGACACGGUCCAGACUCCUACGGGAGGCAGCAGUAGGGAAUCUUCCGCAAUGGGCGAAAGCCUGACGGAGCAACGCCGCGUGAGUGAUGAAGGUAUUCGGAUCGUAAAACUCUGUUAUUAGGGAAGAACAUAUGUGUAAGUAACUGUGCACAUCUUGACGGUACCUAAACAGAAAGCCACGGCUAACUACGUG